Nicotiana tabacum (common tobacco) is the source of this 813-nucleotide long non-coding RNA. RefSeq lists it as uncharacterized. NCBI's taxonomy places the organism in Eukaryota, Viridiplantae, Streptophyta, Magnoliopsida, Solanales, Solanaceae. The record is from RefSeq and is a predicted model, not a curated record.
UGCAUAGACCUACACGGAAAAGACCCCAGGAUCCGCCAUUUCUCUAAAAAGAAAAUCGAAGGAAAAUCAGCCAUCUUCUUUCAUUUUGAGAAGAGAUCAGCCAAAAAAAGGAGCUAACCUAAGAGAAGAGACUAACGCCUCAGACUUAGACAAAAAGAGGCAACAACUUCUUCUUCAAACAAAAAACGCAGAACCAAAGACCGUGAAUAAUUCAACCCCAUUCUUCGACACCACCCAUCUCUUAGCCGUUUCAGUUGUGAAAAGUCAUAGCUUUAACCCCAAAAUCCAACUGCAAAUAGUCUUAAAAUUAGUCUCUAAUCUCUCGCCAAAACUCCAAAAGAUCAGUGUAAAUCAGCCUACACCACCAUGCCAACAAUUUCUUUUUCCAGCCGGGUUCAAAUGGUAUUUCGAAAGGUCUUGUUCGAAGUUCGUCGUCGUGAGUUCCAAGCGAGGUGUUUUUCCAUGGUCUUGUUUAUUUUCUCUUGUCAAAAUUAUUGAUUAAUCAAGGUUCAGUUUCAAUUUUAAGGUGACACAAGAGGAGAAGCAGAAAAUAUACGGCACCUUGAAGCAUAUGUAGAAGAUGUGAGAAGAAGAGAGAGUGGAAGCAAAGGUUGUGAGAACACAGAUUUAAUUCCAUAACUUUUAGAAGCAAUGGUUGUAAGAUUACAGACUUUGAAUUUGCUAGUGCUUUCAAAAUAUGUACAAUAUGGGCUAGGUUAGGUAAAAUUUUAAAACAUGGGCCAUUUUUUAUUAUGAUCUAAAGUCAUGUGUAUUUUUUUGUAAUUUUUUCAUAUAUUAAGUGGUAAUUUGAUA